GACGAACGCUGGCGGCGUGCCUAAUACAUGCAAGUCGAACGAGAGCGACCGGUGCUUGCACUGGUCAAUCUAGUGGCGAACGGGUGAGUAACACGUGGGUAACCUGCCCAUCAGAGGGGGAUAACAUUCGGAAACGGAUGCUAAAACCGCAUAGGUCUUCGAACCGCAUGGUUUGAAGAGGAAAAGAGGCGCAAGCUUCUGCUGAUGGAUGGACCCGCGGUGCAUUAGCUAGUUGGUGAGGUAACGGCUCACCAAGGCCGUGAUGCAUAGCCGACCUGAGAGGGUGAUCGGCCACAUUGGGACUGAGACACGGCCCAAACUCCUACGGGAGGCAGCAGUAGGGAAUCUUCCGCAAUGGACGCAAGUCUGACGGAGCAACGCCGCGUGAGUGAAGAAGGUUUUCGGAUCGUAAAACUCUGUUGUUAGAGAAGAACAAGUGCUAGAGUAACUGUUAGCACC
Molecule: ribosomal RNA, 459 nt
Filed under: Granulicatella adiacens
Lineage: Bacteria; Bacillati; Bacillota; Bacilli; Lactobacillales; Carnobacteriaceae
Description: bacterial SSU rRNA
Rfam family: Bacterial small subunit ribosomal RNA
Source: RNAcentral